UGGGUUUUUGCCAUGUUGGCCAGGCAGGUCUUGAACUCUUGACCUCAGGUGAUCCGCCUGCCUCAGUGUCCCAAAGUGUUGGGAUUACAGGCACGAGCCACCGCGCUCAGCCAAUUUUUCCUCAACUCUCUCUUUCCUGGACGGGCUGCGUUGGGGGGAGGUGCAGGGAAAGAACACCUCUUUGCUUAGACAUUGGUGUCGACAGUGGGGAUACUAAGUUCAUCUCCUGAUCCUGCUAGGCCUGGAAGCAGGAAAGAAAUGUCCUGGUUAGAGAUAAAAUUGUUCUAUCCUUUUAGAAAAGCCUGUUAAGGAAUAUGAUGCAAAGCCACCUUCGACGAAAUCUGAAAUGAUACCCCACAGCCUUGUCCACCCCAAUUAUUCAGUGACAGGGCUCCAGUUGCUUAAGCCAUAGAGAAGGCCCCUUUGCAGUGGGAGUCACUGAAGACAGAAAGGGAAGCCCAGGAUGAACCCAGUCCUAAGGGCUGCUGGGGGCCACCAAAUAAGACUGUUUUAGCCCUGGACACAGAGGGAGACACAGUCAUCCCAGAUCCUUACAAAGAAUACAUUGCCAAGGACCCCGAAGGAAAUCUGCUUGUCUUAAGAGAGGAAGACCCACGACCAGCUCUCUGGGACUACCUGUCAACUCAGCAGGUGCAGCCAGGGAGCAGCCAUGCUUCUUCUGCCCUCCCAGUAGGCUGGGCUAUCAGUUCCUGGGAGGGGUCCUGUCCCCAUGUAAGGGGAUAUGUACAUUGCUGAGUACGCUGAUAUCUUUUUCAUGGGUAUGAUUUUUUAACAAGAAAGCUAAAUGGUUCUCGUGUAACAUAACUGAUAUAGUUUGGCUGUGUCCCCACCCAAAUCUUAUCUUGAACUGCAGCUCCCAUAAUCCCCAGGUGUUGUGGGAGGGACCCAGUGGGAGGUAAUUGAAUCAUGGGGGUGGUUACCGCCAUGCUGUUCUCGUGAUAGCGAGUGAGUUCUCACGAGAUCUGAUGGUUUUAUAAGGGGCUUUCCCCCUCCUUCGCUCUGCACUUCUCCUUGCUGCCAUGCGAAGAAGGAUGUGUUUGCUUCCCCUUCUGCCAUGAUUGUAAGUUUCCUGAGGCCUCCCCAGCCAUGUUAAACUUUGAGUUAAUUAAACCUCUUUCCUUUAUAAAUUA
This 1151-nucleotide long non-coding RNA is filed under the name Homo sapiens (human). Its description in RNAcentral is "non-protein coding lnc-SSTR2-2:1". The record is from RNAcentral. Lineage: Eukaryota; Metazoa; Chordata; Mammalia; Primates; Hominidae.